RNAcentral lists this long non-coding RNA (555 nucleotides) under Spirodela polyrhiza (greater duckweed). RNAcentral's name for it is "long non-coding RNA (SPOL_LNC002105)". The record is from RNAcentral. Lineage: Eukaryota; Viridiplantae; Streptophyta; Magnoliopsida; Alismatales; Araceae.
GCAGCCGAGACCGUCGUCCUCCUCCGCCGCCACCGCCGCGCUGUCCGCUUGGAAGAAGACGACAGAGCCGGAAGAAAGUCCAGGAACUGGAAUCACGCGGCUUUAUUAUAUUCUCCCGCAGACAGGCUCCGGGGAAAUCGCGUGCCCCCUGUCUCGCCAACGUCAGUAACUCGCGAGCGCGAAAGAUUCCUACCGAGCCUUGACUUCUCUGUAGAGGGGAGCUCUCCAUCACGCGGAGCUCCACUCAGGUAGCCUCUCUCUCCCUCUGUCCCUGUCUGUGUCUCUGCGUGGCCUAUCUCUACCCUUAAUAGCGAACAGUGGUGCCAUUACGCCCCAUUAUUCUGCGGGACUAGAUCCGCGGUGGGCUUUGAUUGGAGGGGUGGUAUCCCCUGGAGCGGUACGGGGGAGGGCCGGGCAUGGAGGCUUGGUUCCCCGUCCUCUGAACCUGAUGGGCGGCAGUUCAUUACUCUCGUCUUCUAUCCGCAGAUGUCAGGAAUCCCUGCCCGGCGCAUCGAGGAGGCGGAGCCGCUCCCGGCCUCCGCCCACCGCCCCCGC